Molecule: transfer RNA, 65 nt
Filed under: Dipodomys ordii (Ord's kangaroo rat)
Lineage: Eukaryota; Metazoa; Chordata; Mammalia; Rodentia; Heteromyidae
Rfam family: tRNA
About the family: Transfer RNA (tRNA) molecules are approximately 80 nucleotides in length.
Source: Rfam by way of RNAcentral
GGUGGCUCAGUGGAAGAGCGCUUGCCUAGUAUGCAUGAGGCCCUGGGUUCGAUUCCUCAGAACCA